Molecule: non-coding RNA, 964 nt
Organism: Pelobates cultripes (western spadefoot toad)
Lineage: Eukaryota; Metazoa; Chordata; Amphibia; Anura; Pelobatidae
Source: the annotation of a GenBank genome assembly
AUGAAUCAUAUCAUCACUUGGCAUUCUAAAAAGGUAAUCUAUAUGAUAACGGUCCAUGUGGAUUAUCAUACAUAGGACGUACCGUUCGUCCACUUAAAGGAAGGAUACAAGAACAUAUUAGGAAUGUGAGGAAUGGUUACAUUAAACAUAGUGUAUCUCUCCAUUUUAAGACUCACCAUAAUAGUGACCCCACCAAAUUACCAUUUUUGAAUGAAGUGGUCUGGGUGCCAGGUCCCUCAGGUUUUAACCCAUCAGAUGUAAACAUAGCAGUUUCAGAGAAGCUGCAAUGUUUACAUUUGGGGUUAAUCCAACCUCUAGUGGCUGUCUUCAUGACAGCCGCUAGAGGCGCUUCUGCAAUGCUGGAUGCGAAAUUCGCAUCCAUCGCGCAGAGCAUCCAUAGGAAAGCAUUGAUAAAUGCUUUCCUAUGGACUGUUUGAAUGUGCGCAAGCCUCUUGCCCCGCAUUUGCAUUCCGCUCCACUCGUUAGCUGACAUCGGCGGGAGAGAAGAGGUCACCAGCGCCGAGGGAGCCUGGUGCUGGAUUAACGUACGCUGCUGAAGGGGUUUUAACCCCUUCAGCGCCGUUGGGAGGGGGGCCCUGAGGGUUGGGGCACCCUUAGGGCACUACAGUGUCAGGAAAACAGGUUUGUUUUCCUGACAGUGUAGUGAUCCUUUAAAAUAAAUUGGAGAGGUGAGGGCCUAAUUAAGAGAUUGGGAAUAUCAGAGAUAAAGUGGAUCUUCAACCUACGUACUUUACAAGCUCACGGUUUAAACAAUGAUUUUUAACUUUGUCACUUUCUGUAGUUAUUAUUAUCUCAGUUAAUUUUUAGAAAUGUUCCCUUUUUAUGGAGUGGUCAGAUAAGUUAAAUAAAUAUAUAUUUUAGUAUUGGUGUUGUAUGUACCUAUGACUUACUUGUUUCAGAUAGAAUUUAAACAAUCAUUAAGUAAAGGUUAUGUAUAUAAAAU